UGCCAGCCGCCGCGGUAAUACGGAGGGUGCAAGCGUUAAUCGGAAUUACUGGGCGUAAAGCGCGCGUAGGCGGCUUGAUUAGUCAGAUGUGAAAUCCCAGGGCUCAACCUUGGAACUGCAUUUGAUACUGUCAGGCUAGAGUAUGUUAGAGGAAUGCGGAAUUCCGGGUGUAGCGGUGAAAUGCGUAGAUAUCCGGAGGAACAUCAGUGGCGAAGGCGGCAUUCUGGAAUAAUACUGACGCUGAGGUGCGAAAGCGUGGGGAGCAAACAGGAUUAGAUA
RNAcentral lists this ribosomal RNA (279 nucleotides) under uncultured bacterium. Its description in RNAcentral is "partial 16S ribosomal RNA". It matches the Rfam family "Bacterial small subunit ribosomal RNA", at positions 506 to 784 of the family's 1533-position model. The record is from RNAcentral.